Molecule: ribosomal RNA, 564 nt
Filed under: uncultured bacterium
Lineage: Bacteria
Description: partial 16S ribosomal RNA
Rfam family: Bacterial small subunit ribosomal RNA
Source: RNAcentral
UGGGGAAUUUUGGACAAUGGGGGAAACCCUGAUCCAGCCAUCCCGCGUGUGCGAUGAAGGCCUUCGGGUUGUAAAGCACUUUUGGCAGGAAAGAAACGUCACGGGUUAAUACCCCGCGAAACUGACGGUACCUGCAGAAUAAGCACCGGCUAACUACGUGCCAGCAGCCGCGGUAAUACGUAGGGUGCAAGCGUUAAUCGGAAUUACUGGGCGUAAAGCGUGCGCAGGCGGUUCGGAAAGAAAGAUGUGAAAUCCCAGAGCUUAACUUUGGAACUGCAUUUUUAACUACCGGGCUAGAGUGUGUCAGAGGGAGGUGGAAUUCCGCGUGUAGCAGUGAAAUGCGUAGAUAUGCGGAGGAACACCGAUGGCGAAGGCAGCCUCCUGGGAUAACACUGACGCUCAUGCACGAAAGCGUGGGGAGCAAACAGGAUUAGAUACCCUGGUAGUCCACGCCCUAAACGAUGUCAACUAGCUGUUGGGGCCUUCGGGCCUUGGUAGCGCAGCUAACGCGUGAAGUUGACCGCCUGGGGAGUACGGUCGCAAGAUUAAAACUUAAAGGAAUUG